Molecule: ribosomal RNA, 433 nt
Filed under: uncultured bacterium
Lineage: Bacteria
Description: partial 16S ribosomal RNA
Rfam family: Bacterial small subunit ribosomal RNA
Source: RNAcentral
AACGAACGCUGGCGGCAUGCCUAACACAUGCAAGUCGAACGAGACCUUCGGGUCUAGUGGCGCACGGGUGCGUAACGCGUGGGAACCUUCCCUUAGGUUCGGAAUAACUCCCCGAAAGGGGUGCUAAUACCGGAUAAUGUCUUCGGACCAAAGAUUUAUCGCCUUUGGAUGGGCCCGCGUUGGAUUAGCUAGUUGGUAGGGUAAAAGCCUACCAAGGCGACGAUCCAUAGCUGGUCUGAGAGGAUGAUCAGCCACACUGGGACUGAGACACGGCCCAGACUCCUACGGGAGGCAGCAGUGGGGAAUAUUGGACAAUGGGCGAAAGCCUGAUCCAGCAAUGCCGGGUGAGUGAUGAAGGCAUUAGGGUUGUAAAGCUCUUUUACCCGGGAUGAUAAUGACAGUACCGGGAGAAUAAGCUCCGGCUAACUCCGUG